GACGAACGCUGGCGGCGUGCUUAACACAUGCAAGUCGAACGGAUAGGCCCUGCUUUUGUGGGGUGCCCGAGUGGCGAAGGGGUGAGUAACACGUGAGUAUCCUGCCUAUGACUGUGGAACAACUUCAGGUACCUGGUGCUAAUACCGGAUUGGAGCUUCAGCUGCAAGGUGGGGGUUGGAAAGCUUCGGCGGAUGGAGAUGGACUAGCGGCUUAUCAGCUUGUUGGUGGGGUAGUGGCUUACCAAGGCUUCGGCGGGUAGCCGACCUGAGAGGGGGGCCGGCCACGUUAGGACUGAGAUACGGCCCAGACUCGUACGGGAGGCAACGGUGGGGAAGAGUGUACAGGGGGCGGGAGCCUGAUGCGGCAACGCCGCGUGCGGGAAGACGGGCAGGGGGUUGUGAACCGCUGUCGCCUUUGACGAAGCGUGAGUGACGGUAAUGGGUAAAGAAGCACCGGCUAACUACGUG
Molecule: ribosomal RNA, 468 nt
Filed under: uncultured bacterium
Lineage: Bacteria
Description: partial 16S ribosomal RNA
Rfam family: Bacterial small subunit ribosomal RNA
Source: RNAcentral